CAAAAUGCCAUUUUGUCUUCAUCGUUUACGUACUGCAAUCUAGGAUGUGUGUCUUUUUUCCAUGUCUGAUACCUAAGAAGCUUCUUCUGCAUUCUUUCACACCAUCAAUGGUGUUUCGAGAUGGAUGACUGAAAUCAUGAUGAAGAAUCUUUUUGUUUCCUUUCUCCAUUCGCGUCGUUUAGCCAUCUACUCAAUCAAAACCGUUACAGAUUCAGCGCCAUUACGGCAUUCAAAGUGAUUUGUUGUCAUUAAGGUCUCAAUUAACUUCGUCUCCCCCACUC
This 281-nucleotide long non-coding RNA is filed under the name Brassica napus (rape). RNAcentral describes it as "long non-coding RNA (BNAP_LNC022716)". The record is from RNAcentral. Lineage: Eukaryota; Viridiplantae; Streptophyta; Magnoliopsida; Brassicales; Brassicaceae.